AUUGAACGCUGGCGGCAUGCCUUACACAUGCAAGUCGAACGGCAGCACGGGUGCUUGCACCUGGUGGCGAGUGGCGAACGGGUGAGUAAUACAUCGGAACAUGUCCUGUAGUGGGGAUAGCCCGGCGAAAGCCGGAUUAAUACCGCAUACGAUCUACGGAUGAAAGCGGGGGACCUUCGGGCCUCGCGCUAUAGGGUUGGCCGAUGGCUGAUUAGCUAGUUGGUGGGGUAAAGGCCUACCAAGGCGACGAUCAGUAGCUGGUCUGAGAGGACGACCAGCCACACUGGGACUGAGACACGGCCCAGACUCCUACGGGAGGCAGCAGUGGGGAAUUUUGGACAAUGGGCGAAAGCCUGAUCCAGCAAUGCCGCGUGUGUGAAGAAGGCCUUCGGGUUGUAAAGCACUUUUGUCCGGAAAGAAAUCCUUGGCCCUAAUACGGUCGGGGGGAUGACGGUACCGGAAGAAUAAGCACCGGCUAACUACGUG
RNAcentral lists this ribosomal RNA (486 nucleotides) under uncultured bacterium. RNAcentral's name for it is "partial 16S ribosomal RNA". It matches the Rfam family "Bacterial small subunit ribosomal RNA", at positions 30 to 507 of the family's 1533-position model. The record is from RNAcentral.